AACGUAGGACGCAAGCGUUAUCCGGAAUUACUGGGCGUAAAGGGCGUGCAGGCGGUUCCUUAAGUUAGGCGUGAAAGCUCUGGGCUAAACCUGGAGAGGUCGUCUGAUACUGGGGGACUAGAGUGUGGUAGAGGGGUGUAGAAUUCCGGGUGUAGUGGUGAAAUGCGUAGAUAUCCGGAGGAAUACCAGUGGCGAAGGCGGCACCCUGGGCCAUAACUGACGCUAAGACGCGAAAGCAUGGGUAGCGAACGGGAUUAGAAACCCCGGUAGUCCAUGCCGUAAACGAUGUGCACUCGGUGUUCUGACAGGGAAGCCUGUUGGAGUGCCCCAGCAAACGCGGUAAGUGCACCGCCUGGGGAGUACGGUCGCAAGGCUAAA
This 378-nucleotide ribosomal RNA is filed under the name uncultured bacterium. Its description in RNAcentral is "bacterial SSU rRNA". It matches the Rfam family "Bacterial small subunit ribosomal RNA", at positions 524 to 898 of the family's 1533-position model. The record is from RNAcentral.